This 334-nucleotide unclassified non-coding RNA is filed under the name soil metagenome. RNAcentral describes it as "partial contains 5.8S ribosomal RNA, internal transcribed spacer 2, and large subunit ribosomal RNA". The stretch from base 1 to 120 matches the Rfam family "5.8S ribosomal RNA", at positions 35 to 154 of the family's 154-position model. The record is from RNAcentral.
GAUGAAGAACGUAGCGAAAUGCGAUAAGUAAUGUGAAUUGCAGAAUUCAGUGAAUCAUCGAAUCUUUGAACGCACAUUGCGCCCGGCAGUAUUCUGGCGGGCAUGCCUGUUCGAGCGUCAUUUCAACCAUCAAGCCUCAGGCUUGUGUUGGAGCCCUGCGGCUGCCGCAGCCUCCCAAAACCAGUGGCGGGCUCGCUAUCACACCGAGUGCAGUAGUUUACUCUUCGCUCAGGGCGUGUGGCGGGUGCUAGCCGUGAAACCCCCAACUUCUCAAGGUUGACCUCGGAUCAGGUAGGAAUACCCGCUGAACUUAAGCAUAUCAAUAAGCGGAGGA